AAAAGUGUGGGCCGGGAGGGGGGUAAGUACGGGGGGGGCGAGCGUGAAUUGGAAGUACUGGGCGGAAAGCGAGUGUAGGUGGCUCAUUAAGUCACAUGUGAAAGCCCCGGGCUUAACCUGGGAACUGCAUGUGAUACUGGUGGUGCUAGAAUAUGUGAGAGGGAAGUAGAAUUCCAGGUGUAGCGGUGAAAUGCGUAGAGAUCUGGAGGAAUACCGAUGGCGAAGGCAGCUUCCUGGCAUAAUAUUGACACUGAGAUUCGAAAGCGUGGGUAGCAAACAGGAUUAGAUACCCGAGUAGUC
RNAcentral lists this ribosomal RNA (300 nucleotides) under uncultured Desulfurococcus sp. Its description in RNAcentral is "bacterial SSU rRNA". The stretch from base 51 to 300 matches the Rfam family "Bacterial small subunit ribosomal RNA", at positions 547 to 795 of the family's 1533-position model. Lineage: Archaea; Thermoproteati; Thermoproteota; Thermoprotei; Desulfurococcales; Desulfurococcaceae. The record is from RNAcentral.